Molecule: ribosomal RNA, 384 nt
Filed under: Boophis tephraeomystax
Lineage: Eukaryota; Metazoa; Chordata; Amphibia; Anura; Mantellidae
Description: partial large subunit ribosomal RNA
Rfam family: Bacterial large subunit ribosomal RNA
Source: RNAcentral
AAGCGGGGAUUUUUUUAUAAGACGAGAAGACCCCAUGGAGCUUUAAACCCGAUGACACCCCCGCCCCAUCUAUACCCACGUAUUCGUUGGGGGCCUGUUCACUCGGUUUUAGGUUGGGGUGACCGCGGAGUAAAACAAAACCUCCACGAAGAAUGGGCUUACCCCCUUAUCCAAGAGAUACAUCUCUAAGAAUUAGUAAACUAAUAUCUAAUGAUCCGAUUUUUCGAUCAACGAACCAAGUUACCCUGGGGAUAACAGCGCAAUCCACUUCAAGAGCUCAUAUCGACAAGUGGGUUUACGACCUCGAUGUUGGAUCAGGGUAUCCCAGUGGUGCAGCAGCUACUAACGGUUCGUUUGUUCAACGAUUAAAACCCUACGUGAUCU